GAUGAACGCUGGCGGCGUGCCUAAUACAUGCAAGUCGAGCGAACAGACGAGGAGCUUGCUCCUCUGACGUUAGCGGCGGACGGGUGAGUAACACGUGGAUAACCUACCUAUAAGACUGGGAUAACUUCGGGAAACCGGAGCUAAUACCGGAUAAUAUAUUGAACCGCAUGGUUCAAUAGUGAAAGACGGUUUUGCUGUCACUUAUAGAUGGAUCCGCGCCGCAUUAGCUAGUUGGUAAGGUAACGGCUUACCAAGGCAACGAUGCGUAGCAGACCUGAGAGGGUGAUCGGCCACACUGGAACUGAGACACGGUCCAGACUCCUACGGGAGGCAGCAGUAGGGAAUCUUCCGCAAUGGGCGAAAGCCUGACGGAGCAACGCCGCGUGAGUGAUGAAGGUCUUCGGAUCGUAAAACUCUGUUAUUAGGGAAGAACAAAUGUGUGAGUAACUAUGCACGUCUUGACGGUACCUAAUCAGAAAGCCACGGCUAACUACGUG
RNAcentral lists this ribosomal RNA (497 nucleotides) under uncultured bacterium. RNAcentral describes it as "partial 16S ribosomal RNA". It matches the Rfam family "Bacterial small subunit ribosomal RNA", at positions 28 to 507 of the family's 1533-position model. The record is from RNAcentral.